AGGAUGCCUCCUCCCAACUGCGUCGUUGAGGACGGUGCGAGGCUGGGAUGGAUGAGAGGGCCACCGAGCACGAGUCUGACUGAGGGAGCGCGGCCCUCUGUCUCAGAAAGCCCUUGGCCUGAGAGGGGGGCACAGCCGCCUGGCGCCGGCGCCCACCGGCAGACCACUCCCCAACCCCGGAAACUAUUUCUGCAGCUUCCGGCUUUGGUUUCCCUUAGUCCGCUCCCACCUCUGACGUGAGUCUGACGGGCAGAGCCUGUGAGAGGCCGCACAAGAGCAGGGUCUGGUGAGGAGGGGGGCCUCCAUUCGCCGACAGCAUGGCUGGAGAACAGGCUGCCGUGUGGUGGCCAGCAUCUCUCCCGGCCCCACUAAGGAGAACAGAAGUGGCCGGAAGGAGUCGGGAGUCCCAUAGUUUCCUCUGCUUACUCUGUAUCUUCAGAACCUAUGCUGUGCCUGGAAUGCCAUCGGCACUCAGGAAAGAGAGAGAAGGAAAGUGUCCAGGUCCUGCACACCGUCUCACCUCACAGGUCCUGGGAGGGCCCAAGAAUUUGUGUCUCCAAGUUCUCAAGUGGUGCUGUUGUGGAGACCUCACUGCGAGACCCAGUGGAGCAGAAAGCGAAGGGGCAGAGGAGAAACUGACUGCUUCCGUUGGCCAUCGUCAAGGCGCAGCUCGCUUCCAGUGAGCAGGCCCUGCCACGUGCCAUGUGUGGCUCCCCGGGGAUGGGUUCUCCCAGGUGUACAUGCUGAGGAUGGGAACCUACCUCCUGGAACAUAAUUACCGCCAUCUAGAUAGAGAUUGGGACCUUGCCCCCAGGGCCCUCGGGGAUGGUUGGGCAGGUUGUGCACCACACAAAUCCAGGGGUGACCGUUCACAAGCCAGGGAGCAGCAUCUUCAAAUGAAAUCCUACCCAGAGGCUGAGUGGACAAGUCAAGGGAGAGGGGGCAGCUCCAGUUGAAUCAGGUGGAGAACCCAGGUGGAGAAGGUCCACCCGCCUGACGCCUCAUGCAGCCAGCUUCCUGCGUUCCCCCUUGAAGACCCUAACACGUUCAUGGAAUCCUCAGGUUGAAGACCAUCGCUGUCAAAGUGCCAAGAGCAUGCCCUCUUACCUGUAGUUCCACCUCCAAGACUCCAAAUACUCCCAGCUGAGUACACACAUUCAACACGGCUUUGUUUGUGACAGCAACUUAUAAAAAUGAAAACCAUUUAGUCCCCUGCCCUCUAUAUUGUCAGUGGAGAACAUAGGAAGAAGCUAGACCUCGCCCACUGCUUGGCAGGAAGAGUGCCUCCCUCCGCCUCCCAGCGGGGCAGCACCAUAGAAGGCUAGUGGUGCUGGGAUUCCCACGCUAGACCAGCAGUGAAUGGAGCUCCUCUCCCCUCGGGUGUCAACAAAGGCCAAGGGCAGGUCCUGAACUUCCACCUCUGCCUGGCAGGGGAGGUGCUGUGUCCCCCCUCUGCUGCCUUUUGUUGCAGGAUCAAUCUCAGAAAAAGCCAGCUAAAAUAUAAGUUUUCAAUAGGAUCCAGAUUCUCACAGCAUAAUACCCAAAG
Long non-coding RNA from Bos taurus (domestic cattle), 1546 nucleotides. NCBI's taxonomy places the organism in Eukaryota, Metazoa, Chordata, Mammalia, Artiodactyla, Bovidae. The record is from Ensembl.